UACGUAGGGGGCUAGCGUUGUCCGGAAUCAUUGGGCGUAAAGCGCGUGUAGGCGGUCCGGUAAGUCCGCUGUGAAAGUCGGGGGCUCAACCCUCGAAUGCCGGUGGAAACUGUCGGGCUAGAGUACGGAAGAGGCGAGUGGAAUUCCUGGUGUAGCGGUGAAAUGCGCAGAUAUCAGGAGGAACACCAAUUGCGAAGGCAGCUCGCUGGGACGUUACUGACGCUGAGACGCGAAAGCGUGGGGAGCAAACAGG
Molecule: ribosomal RNA, 253 nt
Filed under: uncultured bacterium
Lineage: Bacteria
Description: partial 16S ribosomal RNA
Rfam family: Bacterial small subunit ribosomal RNA
Source: RNAcentral